RNAcentral lists this ribosomal RNA (253 nucleotides) under uncultured bacterium. Its description in RNAcentral is "partial 16S ribosomal RNA". It matches the Rfam family "Bacterial small subunit ribosomal RNA", at positions 524 to 776 of the family's 1533-position model. The record is from RNAcentral.
UACGUAGGGGGCUAGCGUUGUCCGGAAUCAUUGGGCGUAAAGAGCGUGUAGGCGGCCCGGUAAGUCCGCUGUAAAAGUCAAAGGCUCAACCUUUGAAUGUCAGUGGAUACUGCCGGGCUAGAGUCCGGAAGAGGCGAGUGGAACUCCUGGUGUAGCGGUGGAAUGCGCAGAUAUCAGGAGGAGCACCGAUGGCGAAGGCAGCACUCUGGGCCGGCACUGACGCUGAGGAGCGAAAGCGUGGGGAGCGAACAGG